UAGAUGGGCCAGAUUAUAAAGAAAAGCUUGGAACAAUUGUCAGCCACCUUUACAAGCUCGCCUUCAAAACCUAUGCAGAUAUACCUAGAGGACCAGUUAAGGAUAAUUUGAUGCGAAAAUUAGCCUGCAAAACUUUAAUGGAGAUUCUGCCCCAGGAUGUAACCCAGAGGGUACAGGCGGAGUUGGACGACAAGAAACUCUCCAAGGAUUUCGACACUGUCAUGGGUCUAGUAGUCGGAUAAAAUGGACAUGCGGAAAUAUUCACAAAUAUUCGGAAAUACUCGGAAAUAUUCGGAUACCUUAGAAAACUUUCAGAAAUAUUCGAAAUAUUAUAUUUGGAAACAAUUUUUGGAUUUAAAAACUAUUUUUUUAAAAAAUGAAAUUGAAAAUUAUCUAAUUUGACAUCAUAAUAUUUAGGGGGAAUGUAUCAUUGAAUUCGGAAAAUUAUUUAAAAUUCCUAAAAGUUUUCUUUAUUGAGAUCUUGAUGCACAAAAAGUAUAAAUAAAAAUGCAUAUUGCAUAUUUGUGUAAAUAAAUCAUUAAAGCCUAAAAUUAAUCUCUUUUAUUCUCAUUAACCAAAAGAGAACUUUUUUAAGAGAAUUUAAUUAAAGAAGA
This is a long non-coding RNA of Eurytemora carolleeae, 614 nucleotides long. RefSeq lists it as uncharacterized. The transcript is spliced from 3 exons. The record is from RefSeq and is a predicted model, not a curated record. Lineage: Eukaryota; Metazoa; Arthropoda; Copepoda; Calanoida; Temoridae.